Molecule: ribosomal RNA, 685 nt
Filed under: uncultured fungus
Lineage: Eukaryota; Fungi
Description: eukaryotic LSU rRNA
Rfam family: 5.8S ribosomal RNA (bases 251-405)
Source: RNAcentral
AAGUCGUAACAAGGUUUCCGUAGGUGAACCUGCGGAAGGAUCAUUAUCGAAAUCGAAAGCCGAGGAGGCGAGGGAGAGAGGACUGUUGCCGGCCCCAGAGCGCGAGCACGUCCCUUCCGAGCGUCGUAGGCGUCACCCCUCUCACACCCGUGUGCACCAGCCGUAGGUCCCUCGGGACCUACGUACCCUCUCUUUAAACUCGUAUGUCUACAGAAUGUAUGCGUCGGUCGCGGACCGAUGGACCCUAUACAACUUUCAGCAAUGGAUCUCUUGGCUCUCGCAUCGAUGAAGAACGCGGCGAAUCGCGAUAAGUAAUGUGAAUUGCAGAUUUUCCGUGAAUCAUCGAAUCUUUGAACGCACCUUGCGCUCCUUGGUAUUCCGAGGAGCAUGCCUGUUUGAGUGUCAUCGAAAUCUCGAACCGAAGCCUUCGACCCCGGUCGGAGGCGCUCGGUUCGGAACUUGGGAGCCUGCCGGCGAAAGUCGGCUCUCCUCAAAAGCAUUAGCCGUGGGCGCGAGCCUCGCAUGGCACGGCCUCCUCGACGUCGUAAUGAUCGUCGCGGGCUGGAAGUGCGAGGCGUGGACCGACCACGCUUCCCUAGACUUGCGAGCCCGUUCUCCUCGGGGAACGGCCGCGCCCCCAUCGAUGCUUGACCUCGAAUCAGGUAGGACUACCCGCCGAACUUAA